GGCUCUUUCGUCUGAUCCCACCGAAUGUCUCAUCAUUCGUAAUGAUGGGGCCACAGGUUCGAGUCCUGUAAGCGGCACCA
RNAcentral lists this transfer RNA (80 nucleotides) under Sphingopyxis sp. A083. RNAcentral describes it as "tRNA-Thr". The record is from RNAcentral. Lineage: Bacteria; Pseudomonadati; Pseudomonadota; Alphaproteobacteria; Sphingomonadales; Sphingopyxidaceae.